UACGUAGGGGGCUAGCGUUGUCCGGAUUUAUUGGGCGUAAAGAGCGUGUAGGCGGCCAGGUAGGUCUGCUGUGAAAACUCGAGGCUCAACCUCGAGACGUCGGCGGAAACCAUCUGGCUAGAGUCCGGAAGAGGAGAGUGGAAUUCCUGGUGUAGCGGUGAAAUGCGCAGACAUCAGGAAGAACACCCGUGGCGAAGGCGGCUCUCUGGGACGGUACUGACGCUGAGACGCGAAAGCGUGGGGAGCGAACAGG
Molecule: ribosomal RNA, 253 nt
Filed under: uncultured bacterium
Lineage: Bacteria
Description: partial 16S ribosomal RNA
Rfam family: Bacterial small subunit ribosomal RNA
Source: RNAcentral